Molecule: ribosomal RNA, 241 nt
Filed under: uncultured bacterium
Lineage: Bacteria
Description: partial 16S ribosomal RNA
Rfam family: Bacterial small subunit ribosomal RNA
Source: RNAcentral
UGGCAAGCGUUGUCCGGAAUUAUUGGGCGUAAAGCGCUCGCAGGCGGUCCUUUAAGUCUGAUGUGAAAGCCCACGGCUCAACCGUGGAGGGUCAUUGGAAACUGGGGGACUUGAGUGCAGAAGAGGAGAGCGGAAUUCCACGUGUAGCGGUGAAAUGCGUAGAGAUGUGGAGGAACACCAGUGGCGAAGGCGGCUCUCUGGUCUGUAACUGACGCUGAGGCGCGAAAGCGUGGGGAGCAAA